UACAGAGGGUGCAAGCGUUAAUCGGAAUUACUGGGCGUAAAGCGUGCGUAGACGGUUGCGUAAGUCAGAUGUGAAAGCCCCGGGCUCAACCUGGGAAUUGCAUUUGAGACUGCGUAGCUAGGGUGCGGAAGAGGGAAGCGGAAUUUCCAGUGUAGCGGUGAAAUGCGUAGAUAUCGGAAGGAACACCAGUGGCGAAAGCGGCUUCCUGGUCCAGCACCGACGUUCAGGCACGAAAGCGUGGGGAGCAAACAGG
This 253-nucleotide ribosomal RNA is filed under the name uncultured bacterium. Its description in RNAcentral is "partial 16S ribosomal RNA". It matches the Rfam family "Bacterial small subunit ribosomal RNA", at positions 524 to 776 of the family's 1533-position model. The record is from RNAcentral.